AGAAAGAGCAAAGGCUCCACGGCUCGUUUAUAAGCACUUUCUGGCGUGCGUGACAGUCCCGCGGACUUGAACCAAUUAUGAGCACGCGCAGCUCUCGUUCUAGAGUCGAGAGUCAGCAACAGUUUUAGGAUCAUUAGUUUUCGGAUCACAAGAAUAUUGCUCUAUCAAUGUUUUGUUUUGAAGGAGAAAAUAAAACAUAUAUCGCUGGACUCGGACGAAACCGACUAGAACAUUUGCGAGACCAAUGACCAAGUCCGAGUUCAAAUACCAACGAGUCCAAGACAAGUCCGAGACCAUAAAAAAACGAGACCGGACUCGAGUACUACAGCACUACCUGGUUGGGCCUGCACUGUUAAAAAUUGCUGUUAUUUUACGUCAAAAUUUCAACAGUAUAAUCCUGUUAUGUCUAAAAACAGGGCAUUCAUGAUUUUUCAUGGAUGUUAGAAUGACGUAAACAAACUUUAACAUUAUUUCGCCGUAUUUAUUGCACAAAGGAUAAAAAAACAGGUAUGUACAGUAGUUUUAGAAAUCGAGAACUGCAGCGAGCACAUGUGGAUGGUUAUCGUCUUCAUUCUCCGAGUUAAUAGGGAUGAACGUGAGCCGACGUCAUUGUGAAGCGGAGUUGAAUUUCUGAUUAAGAUAUUUUCCGAUUACAGGGACUGUACAGUUUGACUUGUCAGCAUGUUUCCAUGUCAGUUAUGUGGACAUCUGUGUAGUAAUCCAGUAGCCUAUGUGAAUCACAUGAGGAUUCAUAGCAAUAGCCCAAACUUACUUCUACAUUGCUGUAUCCAGGACUGCAACAUUUUUCCAAGUGGAAGGGCUGAUCCUUUUUGCCAAUGCAUCUUCCACUGCAGCUGAUGUCGAAAGGACACUUGCACUACCUGCAACUCCCCGACUAAUACUCCUUGGCGGUUCAUUGGGAUUAAUCCCGAAAAAAGCAACAAGGGUGGACGAGUCGUCUCAAAGCGGACAGGAAAGGUCCCCCAGAAAAAGAAAACAGCCAACACCCGUGUUGCCAGUUUACUGAAGGAACUGAUGGACUUUGAGAGGCACUUUAUAUAAGUGAACCCUAUCCUUUACACAACACACAUUCCAUACACAACAAACACAAACAUGAUGUGGGUUAGUUGCACAAUUUUUUCAGGUGUUCAGUUUUGAAUACCAUAAAUUGUGAACCUUUAAUUCUUAGUCACUUUAAGUCAUUUGUUUAGUUUUUUUUACAUGUUCUACUAAUUUGGAGAAUAUUUUGUGGUUCUUUGUGUUCACUGAUGUUCAGGUGUUGAUGAAAGGUGCCACAAAUUCAGUAUUUUAUAAAAGUACAUUAAUUUGACCAUUCACGUAAUUUUCCACAGCCCCUAAUUUUGAGAAUAUUUUGUUAUUUGUGUUUGCUGUUUACAAUAACUGCACUUUAAAUAUUUAAUUUGAUUUAAAUGGCUGCAUUUUUCUGUUACUUUUGCUUUAAAUGUGUUUCAAGCUUUUAAGAAGUUUUUAAAUAAUAAAGAAGAUG
Long non-coding RNA from Triplophysa rosa, 1507 nucleotides. RefSeq lists it as uncharacterized. NCBI's taxonomy places the organism in Eukaryota, Metazoa, Chordata, Actinopteri, Cypriniformes, Nemacheilidae. The transcript is spliced from 5 exons. The record is from RefSeq and is a predicted model, not a curated record.